GAUCUGGCUCAGGAUGAACGCUGGCGGCGUGCUUAACACAUGCAAGUCGAACGGGAUAUACUUUUAGCUUGCUAAGUUGUAUAUCUAGUGGCGGACGGGUGAGUAACGCGUGGGUAACCUGCCGUAUGCUGGGGGACAACAGUUGGAAACGACUGCUAAUACCGCAUAAGCGCACGAGAUCGCAUGAUCCUGUGUGAAAAACUCCGGUGGCAUACGAUGGACCCGCGUCUGAUUAGCCAGUUGGCAGGGUAACGGCCUACCAAAGCGACGAUCAGUAGCCGGCCUGAGAGGGUGAACGGCCACAUUGGGACUGAGACACGGCCCAGACUCCUACGGGAGGCAGCAGUGGGGAAUAUUGCACAAUGGGGGAAACCCUGAUGCCAGCGACGCCGCGUGAGUGAAGAAGUAUUUCGGUAUGUAAAGCUCUAUCAGCAGGAAAGAAAAUGACGGUACCUGACUAAGAAGCCCCGGCUAACUACGUGCCAGCAGCGGC
RNAcentral lists this ribosomal RNA (493 nucleotides) under uncultured bacterium. RNAcentral's name for it is "bacterial SSU rRNA". It matches the Rfam family "Bacterial small subunit ribosomal RNA", at positions 15 to 518 of the family's 1533-position model. The record is from RNAcentral.